GACGAACGCUGGCGGCGUGCUUAACACAUGCAAGUCGAGCGGUAAGGCCCUUUCGGGGGUACACGAGCGGCGAACGGGUGAGUAACACGUGAGUGACCUGCCCUUAGCUCUGGGAUAAGCCUGGGAAACUGGGUCUAAUACCGGAUAUGACUCCAUGACGCAUGUUGUGGGGUGGAAAGCCUUGUGCGGCUAGGGAUGGGCCCGCGGCCUAUCAGCUUGUUGGUGGGGUGAUGGCCUACCAAGGCGACGACGGGUAGCCGGCCUGAGAGGGCGACCGGCCACACUGGGACUGAGACACGGCCCAGACUCCUACGGGAGGCAGCAGUGGGGAAUCUUGCGCAAUGGGCGAAAGCCUGACGCAGCGACGCCGCGU
Molecule: ribosomal RNA, 373 nt
Filed under: uncultured bacterium
Lineage: Bacteria
Description: bacterial SSU rRNA
Rfam family: Bacterial small subunit ribosomal RNA
Source: RNAcentral